UCUUCUUCUGCUCUGCUCCCAAGUUGUAGGUACAUACAAUACAAGUUCUAUGGAUUUUUUUGGUAGCCUAGGCAAGGGUGGAUGUAGAGGAGAUAAGUGUGUUCACCCGACCUCUUAGCAAUAAAUUAUACAAUGUAUUCCGGAAUCAAAAUGCGGUGCUUUUGGAAGGGUUUAUAUGGGGGAUGAAAGUUGAUUCCAGAGAGUUACUCACUGGCAUAGUUGGAGGUUAUAAGAAUGUAUACCAUGCAAUUAUUAUUAAGGACUAGACUACUUGCACGGGAAUGGAAUUAUGCACAGAGAUAUUAAGGGAGUAAACAUACCAGUUUACAUUAAAGGCUGCAUCAAACUAUCUUUGAAUUUGGUGUAUGAAAGAAGGUUGUUGAAUUGGCUUGCUAUUAUGACCGUUACAAAGUCAAUGAAGGGUACGCCAUACUGGAUGGCUCCUGAAGCUAUUCUGCAGACCAACCAUAGCUUGUCAAUUGAAGUACAAUUAUCAACUUAUUUUUUCUUAUCACCUAAAGCCAUGAAUGUUCAUAAAUAUUAACAGUCUAGUGUAAAUGCCCUUGCUAGUAGUGGUUUUUUGUUUGGGGG
Molecule: long non-coding RNA, 591 nt
Organism: Solanum stenotomum
Lineage: Eukaryota; Viridiplantae; Streptophyta; Magnoliopsida; Solanales; Solanaceae
Exons: 4
Source: RefSeq, a predicted model, not a curated record